Long non-coding RNA from Eriocheir sinensis (Chinese mitten crab), 1250 nucleotides. RefSeq lists it as uncharacterized. The transcript has 3 exons. Lineage: Eukaryota; Metazoa; Arthropoda; Malacostraca; Decapoda; Varunidae. The record is from RefSeq and is a predicted model, not a curated record.
UUAGGAUGUAUUUUUGUGUGUGAACUUUUUGCACGUAAUCUUUUUUUAUACCCAUAGCUAGCGUUUGUUUGUGUGGCAGUGUUCCGGGAGAUGGGCGCCGGGGGACAUGGGCUGGGGGGAGCGCACGUGACCUCCUCUGUCCGUGACCUCUUCAGCUGGGGAGACCGCGUGUUGCCCCGGCUGGAGAGACACGUUGAUGGAGGCGGCUGCGUGUGUCGUCCCUUGCCUGUAUCCUCUGGCGUCCAGAGGCGCGUAAGUGGAGAGCAUCGGCGCAGCGCGGGAGCAGCACGUCAGGGUGUAGGGUGUUUGUUUAGCUGGUGUAGGGAGCUUAGGGUGUUAGGGUGUUAGGUGUAACAACGGUUGGCUCUUUCACAGAACGGGUGUGACUCCGUUCUGCGUUUGAGUCUUCCACCUUCAGACGGUCUCCCUCUGAGAUGUCUGAAGUUUUUUUGUCGGUUUUCUCCGUAGGAGGAAGCCGACUCUAGCUACUCUGGCCUCUCUUCCGGGGGUCAGGGCGGUCGGGCUCUGCUUGGCCAGGCGUUGCCUUUCGCGUUGUCUCCGCCGACGUUUUGCCAGACUCUUCCGUACGGUUGAGCCUGGCUUUUUUAUUAGGUGGAUCAGGCUGCCUUCUUCCAAGGAGUCUGAUGGGAGUGGAGUCUUUUUUUUGGUGUAUGUCUGUGGGUGCUUAGUGGGUAAGGGAGGGUGGGGUAGAAUGGUUGGUGGGCUGGAAGUGGGUUGGGGGAUGAACCUCCUGGGAUUUGGGUUGUGUCGAGCCUUACCGCCUGGUGUGUUGGGUAACCUUCACGCCAGGGGGGGGGUGCCAAGACCAUAUCCAUUUCCUGGUGCAGGGCGAUUCCCCUUUCCCAUGCUAACUGGCCCUCCUCCGUCUGCCUCCCCAAACCCCCGCUAAGUGCUUGUGUGUGUUAUUUUAUUUAGGAUGUCUUUUUUUUCUAUGCCUUUUUCCCGUGUGUUUAUACCCAAUAGCUAGCGUGUGUGUGUGUGUGGCAGUCCGGAGGCGCGUGCAGCGAGGACAUCACAUCACGUCACUACGGUAUAUCCACGGUAUUUGGUUUAGUGUGUGCUGUGUGUGUUUGUGUGUGUGAUGGCAGGCCUGCCGUGUGUUUGACCUUUUGCUGUGUGUUGCUGUGUGACUGCUAGGAUUUCAUUUCUAUGCAUGUUUUUUUCCCCAUAACCCCCUUCCUCCCUAGCUCUUUAGCUGUUGUCCCUGCUGGGUGGAUGCUGCCGGGCGA